AUGAACGCUGGCGGCGUGCCUAAUCCCUGCAAGUCGAGCGCACAGACGAGGAGCUUGCUCCUCUGGCGUUAGCGGCGGACGGGUGAGUAACACGUGGAUAACCUACCUAUAAGACUGGGAUAACUUCGGGAAACCGGAGCUAAUACCGGAUAAUAUAUUGAACCGCAUGGUUCAAUAGUGAAAGACGGUUUUGCUGUCACUUAUAGAUGGAUCCGCGCCGCAUUAGCUAGUUGGUAAGGUAACGGCUUACCAAGGCAACGAUGCGUAGCCGACCUGAGAGGGUGAUCGGCCACACUGGAACUGAGACACGGUCCAGACUCCUACGGGAGGCAGCAGUAGGGAAUCUUCCGCAAUGGGCGAAAGCCUGACGGAGCAACGCCGCGUGAGUGAUGAAGGUCUUCGGAUCGUAAAACUCUGUUAUUAGGGAAGAACAAAUGUGUAAGUAACUAUGCACGUCUUGACGGUACCUAAUCAGAAAGCCACGGCUAACUACGUG
This 496-nucleotide ribosomal RNA is filed under the name uncultured bacterium. RNAcentral's name for it is "partial 16S ribosomal RNA". It matches the Rfam family "Bacterial small subunit ribosomal RNA", at positions 29 to 507 of the family's 1533-position model. The record is from RNAcentral.